This 254-nucleotide ribosomal RNA is filed under the name uncultured bacterium. RNAcentral describes it as "partial 16S ribosomal RNA". It matches the Rfam family "Bacterial small subunit ribosomal RNA", at positions 524 to 776 of the family's 1533-position model. The record is from RNAcentral.
UACGUAGGGGGCUAGCGUUGUCCGGAAUCAUUGGGCGUAAAGAGCGUGUAGGCGGUCUGUCGCGUCUGCUGUGAAAAUCCGGGGCUCAACCCCGGACUUGCAGUGGGUACGGGCAGACUAGAGUGUGGUAGGGGGAGACUGGAAUUCCUGGUGUAGCGGUGAAAUGCGCAGAUAUCAGGAGGAACACCGGUGGCGAAGGCGGGUCUCUGGGCAGUAACUGACGCUGAGGCGCGAAAGCGUGGGGAGCAAACAGG